UGUGGCUCAAAUGGGACUCGC
RNAcentral lists this non-coding RNA (21 nucleotides) under Arabidopsis thaliana (thale cress). The record is from RNAcentral. Lineage: Eukaryota; Viridiplantae; Streptophyta; Magnoliopsida; Brassicales; Brassicaceae.